This 252-nucleotide ribosomal RNA is filed under the name uncultured bacterium. RNAcentral describes it as "partial 16S ribosomal RNA". It matches the Rfam family "Bacterial small subunit ribosomal RNA", at positions 524 to 776 of the family's 1533-position model. The record is from RNAcentral.
UACGUAGGUCCCGAACGUUGUCCGGAUUUAUUGGGCGUAAAGCGAGCGCAGGUGGUUUAUUAAGUCUGGUGUAAAAGGCAGUGGCUCAACCAUUGUAUGCAUUGGAAACUGGUAGACUUGAGUGCAGGAGAGGAGAGUGGAAUUCCAUGUGUAGCGGUGAAAUGCGUAGAUAUAUGGAGGAACACCGGUGGCGAAAGCGGCUCUCUGGCCUGUAACUGACACUGAGGCUCGAAAGCGUGGGGAGCAAACAGG